ACAUGCAAGUCGUGGGGCAGCAUGAAUGUAGCAAUACAUUUGAUGGCGACCGGCAAACGGGUGCGGAACACGUACACAACCUUCCUACAAGUGGGGAAUAGCCCAGAGAAAUUUGGAUUAAUACCCCGUAACAUAUAGAGAUGGCAUCAUUUUUAUAUUAUAGCUACGGCGCUUGUUGAUGGGUGUGCGGCUGAUUAGGUAGUUGGCGGGGUAACGGCCCACCAAGCCUUCGAUCAGUAGCUGAUGUGAGAGCAUGAUCAGCCACACGGGCACUGAGACACGGGCCCGACUCCUACGGGAGGCAGCAGUAAGGAAUAUUGGACAAUGGGCGCAAGCCUGAUCCAGCCAUGCCGCGUGAAGGAUUAAGGUCCUCUGGAUUGUAAACUUCUUUUAUAAGGGACGAAAAAAGGGAAUUCUUUCUCACUUGACGGUACCUUAUGAAUAAGCACCGGCUAACUCCGUGCCAGCAGCCGCGGUAAUACGGAGGGUGCAAGCGUUAUCCGGAUUCACUGGGUUUAAAGGGUGCGUAGGCGGGUAUUUAAGUCAGUGGUGAAAUCCUAGAGCUUAACUCUAGAACUGCCAUUGAUACUAUUUAUCUUGAAUAUUGUGGAGGUAAGCGGAAUAUGUCAUGUAGCGGUGAAAUGCUUAGAUAUGACAUAGAACACCUAUUGCGAAGGCAGCUUACUACGCAUAUAUUGACGCUGAGGCACGAAAGCGUGGGGAUCAAACA
RNAcentral lists this ribosomal RNA (730 nucleotides) under uncultured Saprospiraceae bacterium. Its description in RNAcentral is "bacterial SSU rRNA". It matches the Rfam family "Bacterial small subunit ribosomal RNA", at positions 53 to 774 of the family's 1533-position model. Lineage: Bacteria; Pseudomonadati; Bacteroidota; Saprospiria; Saprospirales; Saprospiraceae. The record is from RNAcentral.